CCUACGGGUGGCUGCAGUGGGGAAUAUUGCGCAAUGGGCGAAAGCCUGACGCAGCGACGCCGCGUGAGGGAUGAAGGUCUUCGGAUCAUAAACCUCUGUCAGCAGGGAAGAACGGUCACUGUGCUAAUCAGCAGUGAAUUGACGGUACCUGCAAAGGAAGCACCGGCUAACUCCGUGCCAGCAGCCGCGGUAAUACGGAGGGUGCGAGCGUUAAUCGGAUUUACUGGGCGUAAAGCUCUCGUAGGCGGUAUGUCAAGGCAAGGGUGAAAUCCCCGCGCUCAACGUGGGAACUGCCGUUGAAACUGGCAAACUGGAGUGUGUGAGAGGAUAGUGGAAUGCCAGGUGUAGGAGUGAAAUGCGUAGAUAUCUGGAGGAACAUCAGUGGCGAAGGCGACUAUCUGGCACAUAACUGACGCUGAGGAGCGAAAGCGUGGGUAGCAAACAGGAUUAGAUACCCGUGUAGUC
This 465-nucleotide ribosomal RNA is filed under the name uncultured bacterium. Its description in RNAcentral is "partial 16S ribosomal RNA". It matches the Rfam family "Bacterial small subunit ribosomal RNA", at positions 338 to 795 of the family's 1533-position model. The record is from RNAcentral.